This 253-nucleotide ribosomal RNA is filed under the name uncultured bacterium. RNAcentral describes it as "partial 16S ribosomal RNA". It matches the Rfam family "Bacterial small subunit ribosomal RNA", at positions 524 to 776 of the family's 1533-position model. The record is from RNAcentral.
UACGGGGGGAGCAAGCGUUGUUCGGAAUUACUGGGCGUAAAGGGCUCGUAGGUGGCCAACUAAGUCAGACGUGAAAUCCCUCAGCUUAACUGGGGAACUGCGUCUGAUACUGGAUGGCUUGAGUUUGGGAGAGGGAUGCGGAAUUCCAGGUGUAGCGGUGAAAUGCGUAGAUAUCUGGAGGAACACCGGUGGCGAAGGCGGCAUCCUGGACCAACACUGACACUGAUGAGCGAAAGCCAGGGGAGCAAACGGG